UUAAAAAGUGUUGCUAUAUGUGGGGUCGCUAGGUAUAUAGUGACAGUUAAAGCGUGUCGCUAUAACCUAAAAGAGUGCUGCUAAUUUACCAACAAUUUAUUUAAGCAUUUAGCAAUCGCCGAAACUCUAUCUCGUGGGCUGCGGUGGCGGAGGAGAACGACAGGAAUGGCUCUUCGUCUAGAAUUUCAGUGGAUUGAGUGAAGAGAGAAGAAAAUAUGGUAAUUGAUUUUUUUUUUUUUUCUUUUCUGUUUGUAAUCGGGCCAAAUGGACUGGGUGUAGUGGGUUGAAUAGAGUAAUCUUUUAUUUUUGAUUGGAUUGGGCUUUAUAUUUAGGCAUUAGUAGAUAUUUUUUAAAUUUUAGCAUAAAUGGGACACUUACUCAAAAGUGUCCCAAACAUGUAUCCCUAUAACCUAAUUCUGUUGUAGUGUAUAUAUAUAAUUUUAAUACAAAAACGCUUACACAUAAGCUCCAGUAAA
RNAcentral lists this long non-coding RNA (476 nucleotides) under Ananas comosus (pineapple). RNAcentral's name for it is "long non-coding RNA (ACOM_LNC002135)". Lineage: Eukaryota; Viridiplantae; Streptophyta; Magnoliopsida; Poales; Bromeliaceae. The record is from RNAcentral.